GCCCGGGUGGUGAAAUUGGUAGACACAGGAGACUUAAAAUCUCCCGCCGUAACAGGCGUACCGGUUCGAUUCCGGUCCCGGGCA
This 84-nucleotide transfer RNA is filed under the name Bordetella sp. N. It matches the Rfam family "tRNA". From Rfam's summary of the family: Transfer RNA (tRNA) molecules are approximately 80 nucleotides in length. Their secondary structure includes four short double-helical elements and three loops (D, anti-codon, and T loops). Further hydrogen bonds mediate the characteristic L-shaped molecular structure. tRNAs have two regions of fundamental functional importance: the anti-codon, which is responsible for specific mRNA codon recognition, and the 3' end, to which the tRNAs corresponding amino acid is attached (by aminoacyl-tRNA synthetases). tRNAs cope with the degeneracy of the genetic code in two manners: having more than one tRNA (with a specific anti-codon) for a particular amino acid; and 'wobble' base-pairing, i.e. permitting non-standard base-pairing at the 3rd anti-codon position. Lineage: Bacteria; Pseudomonadati; Pseudomonadota; Betaproteobacteria; Burkholderiales; Alcaligenaceae. The record is from Rfam by way of RNAcentral.